GGUGGCUCAGCAGUAGAGCUCUUGCCUUGCAUGCAUGAGGCCCUGGGUUCAAUUCCUCAGCACCA
Molecule: transfer RNA, 65 nt
Filed under: Dipodomys ordii (Ord's kangaroo rat)
Lineage: Eukaryota; Metazoa; Chordata; Mammalia; Rodentia; Heteromyidae
Rfam family: tRNA
About the family: Transfer RNA (tRNA) molecules are approximately 80 nucleotides in length. Their secondary structure includes four short double-helical elements and three loops (D, anti-codon, and T loops). Further hydrogen bonds mediate the characteristic L-shaped molecular structure. tRNAs have two regions of fundamental functional importance: the anti-codon, which is responsible for specific mRNA codon recognition, and the 3' end, to which the tRNAs corresponding amino acid is attached (by aminoacyl-tRNA synthetases). tRNAs cope with the degeneracy of the genetic code in two manners: having more than one tRNA (with a specific anti-codon) for a particular amino acid; and 'wobble' base-pairing, i.e. permitting non-standard base-pairing at the 3rd anti-codon position.
Source: Rfam by way of RNAcentral